GGCCGCUUAGCUCAGAGGCUAGAGCGCUCGUUUCCGAUGCGAGAAGUCCACGGUUCGAUCCCGUGAUCGGUCG
Transfer RNA from Linderina pennispora, 73 nucleotides. It matches the Rfam family "tRNA". Rfam says of the family: Transfer RNA (tRNA) molecules are approximately 80 nucleotides in length. Their secondary structure includes four short double-helical elements and three loops (D, anti-codon, and T loops). Further hydrogen bonds mediate the characteristic L-shaped molecular structure. tRNAs have two regions of fundamental functional importance: the anti-codon, which is responsible for specific mRNA codon recognition, and the 3' end, to which the tRNAs corresponding amino acid is attached (by aminoacyl-tRNA synthetases). tRNAs cope with the degeneracy of the genetic code in two manners: having more than one tRNA (with a specific anti-codon) for a particular amino acid; and 'wobble' base-pairing, i.e. permitting non-standard base-pairing at the 3rd anti-codon position. The record is from Rfam. Lineage: Eukaryota; Fungi; Kickxellomycota; Kickxellomycetes; Kickxellales; Kickxellaceae.